GUUUAUCCUGCUGGAGGUUGCAGCUAUUUGGUUUGGAUUUAGGCAUGCAAGUCCGUUGAAAGACGGCGAACUGCUCAGUAACACGUAGUUAAUCUGACCUUAGGUUACGGAUACCCUCGGGAAACUGAGGUUAAACCGUAAUAGGAGACUUUCUUGGAAUAGAUUUUCUCUGAAACUUGCGCCUAAGGAUGAGACUGCGGCUGAUUAGGUUGUUGGCGGGGUAAUGGCCCACCAAGCCGAUGAUCAGUAAGGGCUCUUAGCGGAGUGGCCCUGAGAAGGAAUCUGAGACACUAUUCCUAGCCCUACGGGGUGCAGCAGCUGCGAAUUUUUUGCAAUGCACGAAAGUGUGACAAAGCGAACCAAAGUGCUUUACAAUGUAAAGCUUUUCUUUACUGUAAAAAGGUAGAGGAAUAAGGACUGGGUAAGACAGGUGCCAGCCGCCGCGGUAAUGCCUGCGGUCCAAGUUGCAACCACAUUUAUUGGGUCUAAAACAUCCGUAGCUUGUUUAUUAAGUUUCUUGUGAAAUCUUAUAGCUUAAAUAUAAGGCGUGCAAGAAAUACUGAUAAGCUAGAGACCGGGAGAUGUAAGAAGUACGUUUAAGGUAAUGGUAAAAUAUGUUAAUCUUAAGCGGACUCACAAUUAGCGAAGGCAUCUUACAAGAACGGUUCUGACAGUGAGGGAUGAAGGCCAGGGGCGCAAAACGGAUUAGAUACCCGUGUAGUCCUGGCAGUAAACACUGCUCACUAAACAUCGGUCUCUCUUCGGGAGAAAUCGGUGCUGAAGCGAAGGCGUAGAGUGAGCUACCUGGGAAGUAUAGUCGCAAGGUCGAAACUUAAAGGAAUUGGCGGGGAGACACUACAACGAGUGACGCGUGCGGUUCAAUUAGAUUCUACACCGUGAACCUCACCAGGAGCGACAGCAGGAUGAAGGUCAGUCUGAAGGGCUUACCUGACACGCUGAGCGGAGAUGCAUGGCCGACGUCAGCCUGUGCUGUGAAGUGACCUGUUAAAUCAGGUAAUAGGCGAGACCCUUGUGCAUAAUUACUCUCGAGAGAUGUACAUUAUGCAGACUGCCUUGGUAACAAGGAGGAAGGUAGGGGCUACGUUAGGUGAGUACAUCCCUAAUCCCCUGGGCUACACGCGCGCGGCAAUGGUAGAUUCAAUAGGCUGCGACUCUGAAAAGAGAAGCUAAUCCUCUAACAUCUAUCUCAGUACAGAUUGAGGUUUGCAACCCAACCUCAUGACGAUGGAAUUCGUAGUAAUCGGAUAUUAGCAGUGUCCGGUGAAUAUGUCCCUGUCUCUUGCACACACCGCCCGUCAAACCAACCGAGUUAUGUGGAGUUGAAACUCGUAUGAGGAGAAAUUUUGCAUGACAAGGUAGGUUAAGUCGUCACAAGGU
Molecule: ribosomal RNA, 1398 nt
Filed under: metagenome
Description: bacterial SSU rRNA
Rfam family: Archaeal small subunit ribosomal RNA
Source: RNAcentral